Molecule: ribosomal RNA, 231 nt
Filed under: Triticum aestivum (bread wheat)
Lineage: Eukaryota; Viridiplantae; Streptophyta; Magnoliopsida; Poales; Poaceae
Description: partial small subunit ribosomal RNA
Source: RNAcentral
AUGUUCGACGUCUGGCGCUACAGGGAGUCUGGGAGAGGACAAGGCCGACACCCCGACACCCUACACAACCCUAGCUCACUCCUCCCCUUCUCCACGCUCGAUCCACUCGAUCCCGAGCUCGGUCAUCACCAUGUCGUCGUCGAUGCCGCGGCCACCGCGCUCCUCGCGCCGCAAGAAGAUGCCCAGAAGAACCGCCACGGUCCACUUCGUCCUUCCCGAGCACAAAACUGA